AAAUUAGCUCAGCCGUCCUUUCCUAGGCCGGAUUGAAAAAAGGGGUAAUUGGGGGAUUCCCAUUCCACUCGGGAAUCGGAAUCAGAAUGGGACUCCCGCGUACCAAACACCCACAAACGAAUUCACCCAUUCCGAUUCCGAUUCCAGAGUAAUAAAAAAACGAACCAAACACGCCCUAAGAGAAAAGAGAAUGAAAAGAAGGGCGGGAGGGGGGGUGAAGAAGCGCGAGAGGAGAAAUGCCGUUGGAGGAAAUUUCGAAAAGAGGGCUUUGAUGAUGAAAAGACGGCGGCAAUAAAUG
RNAcentral lists this long non-coding RNA (298 nucleotides) under Ananas comosus (pineapple). RNAcentral's name for it is "long non-coding RNA (ACOM_LNC008730)". Lineage: Eukaryota; Viridiplantae; Streptophyta; Magnoliopsida; Poales; Bromeliaceae. The record is from RNAcentral.